AUGGGAUUGGCGGGAUGUACUCGUGGGCAAGCUAGCGGGUGCUUGGGAAAAUUUGUGUGUGUGUGUGUGUGUGUGUGUGUGUGUGUGUGUGUCGUCUGUCAUUCCCCUCCCGAUCCCCUUGGUCUCCCUCCUAUCCCACUCACGGUGGCGCCGCCGCCUCCACCCACCACACCGGCAACCUCCCCCACCGGCGAUCCCCUACAUCCGUCGCCCUCACCUUCUCUCUGGCCCAGUCCCAGAUCGACCCGACCCGCAGGUGAGCCGGCGGCCAGGACCCACGCGAAGCGACGCAGGUCGAUUUUCUCGCGCGCCACUGCCUCCUUCCUUCCUUCCUUCCUCUCUUGGGGCGCUCUACCUCUCUCUCGCUGCGCCUCCUCUGCUUCGACCUUCUCCAGGUGCCCGAGCCAUGGAGCUCAAUCGUCAAGGAGAAGAAAACCCUAUCUAGACCUGGAGGAGGAUGUGGUGGAUUGGGGAACCACCCGAGGAGGAAGGAAGGAAGGAACGUCACCAUGGACCUCGACGCCCUCAAUAGUGUUUUCUGGCAUGGAGAAGAAAACCCUAGCUAGACUAGCUGGAGGAGGAUGUGUUGGAUUGGAGAACCACCCGAGGAGGACGGAAGGAAGGAAGGAAGGAAGGAACGUCACCAUGGACCUCGACGCCCUCGAUAGUGUUUUCUGGCAUGGGGGAGAAAAGGAGGGAGAAUCCCAAACGAAACGACGCCCAACCAAAUCCUCCCUCCCUCCCAAGCCGCCGCCGAUGCCUCGGUCCUUCCUUUCAUUUCCUUUGCUGCAGGAGAAGAAAACCCUAGCUAGACUAGCUGGAGGAGGAUGUGUUGGAUUGGAGAACCACCCGAGGAGGACGGAAGGAAGGAAGGAAGGAAGGAACGUCACCAUGGACCUCGACGCCCUCGAUAGUGUUUUCUGGCAUGGGGGAGAAAAGGAGGGAGAAGCCCAAACGAAACGACGCCCAACCAAAUCCUCCCUCCCUCCCAAGCCGCCGCCGAUGCCUCGGUCCUUCCUUUCAUUUCCUUUGCUGCAGGAGAAGAAAACCCUAGCUAGACUAGCUGGAGGAGGAUGUGUUGGAUUGGAGAACCACCCGAGGAGGACGGAAGGAAGGAAGGAAGGAAGGAACGUCACCAUGGACCUCGAUGCCCUCGAUAGUGUUUUCUGGCAUGGGGGAGAAAAGGAGGGAGAAGCCCAAACGAAACGACGCCCAACCAAAUCCUCCCUCCCUCCCAAGCCGCCGCCGAUGCCUCGGUCCUUCCUUUCAUUUCCUUUGCGGCAGGAGAAGAAAACCCUAGCUAGACUAGCUGGAGGAGGAUGUGUUGGAUUGGAGAACCACCCAAGGAGGACGGAAGGAAGGAAGGAAGGAAGGAACGUCACCAUGGACCUCGACGCCCUCGAUAGUGUUUUCUGGCAUGGGGGAGAAAAGGAGGGAGAAGCCCAAACGAAACGACGCCCAACCAAAUCCUCCCUCCCUCCCAAGCCGCCGCCGAUGCCUCGGUCCUUCCUUUCAUUUCCUUUGCUGCAGGAGAAGAAAACCCUAGCUAGACUAGCUGGAGGAGGAUGUGUUGGAUUGGAGAACCACCCGAGGAGGACGGAAGGAAGGAAGGAAGGAAGGAACGUCACCAUGGACCUCGACGCCCUCGAUAGUGUUUUCUGGCAUGGGGGAGAAAAGGAGGGAGAAGCCCAAACGAAACGACGCCCAACCAAAUCCUCCCUCCCUCCCAAGCCGCUGCCGAUGCCUCGGUCCUUCCUUUCAUUUCCUUUGCUGCAGGAGAAGAAAACCCUAGCUAGACUAGCUGGAGGAGGAUGUGUUGGAUUGGAGAACCACCCGAGGAGGACGGAAGGAAGGAAGGAAGGAACGUCACCAUGGACCUCGACGCCCUCAAUAGUGUUUUCUGGCAUGGAGAAGAAAACCCUAGCUAGACUAGCUGGAGGAGGAUGUGUUGGAUUGGAGAACCACCCGAGGAGGACGGAAGGAAGGAAGGAAGGAAGGAACGUCACCAUGGACCUCGACGCCCUCGAUAGUGUUUUUUGGCUUGGAAAGGAUGGAUCCGCGGGAGGACUCGAUGGACCAAUCAACGAAGAUUCGGAUGUGUGGGUGUGGGCAGCGUCAUCCCAUCUCAUCUGCUUGUGUGAAGGACAGGGGCCCUGGAGGAGCUGCUCCCCUGCGGGUUCAGUGGCUGCUCCGACACUGACGGCAUGGAAGCAUGUUAUCAGAAUGGUAGCUUGUAUUGCUGCAGAGCCCAUUUCUAUCCUGGAAAGCAUGGAUUCUGAAGGCCAGCCUGGAACUCCUGAAGAAAAGAAACCUUUUCUUGUAGAUCUUGGAUUAGAAUCGUUUGUAGUCGGUGGGCUACUGAUGAGAGAUAUCAAGGAAUCUGUUUGCUCGGGCCUAGCCUGUGGAAUUCAUGGAAUCCGACAGGGCAAUCGUGAGCAUUUCUCUUGUGUUGGCAUUCCUAACAGCUUAAGCUGGCUUCUUUCUUCUUUUCUUGUAUUCAUGGAAGAUGUUUACCAGCUGCUCCUCUUUGAAGCCACUCUUUCUGAACAUACAACUGUACUGCCAUGGAUAUCUGCUUGCUUGACGUAG
Molecule: ribosomal RNA, 2589 nt
Filed under: Triticum aestivum (bread wheat)
Lineage: Eukaryota; Viridiplantae; Streptophyta; Magnoliopsida; Poales; Poaceae
Description: partial small subunit ribosomal RNA
Source: RNAcentral